UUACUUGGAUAACUGUGGUAAUUCUAGAGCUAAUACAUGCAAACAGAGCUCCGACCGGAGACGGAAGGAGCGCUUUUAUUAGAUCAAAACCAAUCGGUGGCGGGUUCGCUCGUCAUCGUACAACUUGGUGACUCUGAAUAACUUUAAGCUGAUCGCACGGUCUUGCACCGGCGACGCAUCUUUCAAAUGUCUGCCUUAUCAACUGUCGAUGGUAGGUUCUGCGCCUACCAUGGUUGUAACGGGUAACGGGGAAUCAGGGUUCGAUUCCGGAGAGGGAGCCUGAGAAACGGCUACCACAUCCAAGGAAGGCAGCAGGCGCGCAAAUUACCCACUCCCGGCACGGGGAGGUAGUGACGAAAAAUAACGAUACGGGACUCAUCCGAGGCCCCGUAAUCGGAAUGAGUACACUCUAAACCCUUUAACGAGGAUCAAUUGGAGGGCAAGUCUGGUGCCAGCAGCCGCGGUAAUUCCAGCUCCAAUAGCGUAUAUUAAAGUUGUUGCGGUUAAAAAGCUCGUAGUCGAAUCUGUGUCCCGCGCCGCCGGUUCAUCGUCCGCGGUGUUAACUGGCGUGUCGCGGGACGUCCUGCCGGUGGGCUUAGCUCGCAAGGGCGGCCCAACUCAAUCCCGCCGCGGUGCUCUUCACUGAGUGUCGAGGUGGGCCGGCACGUUUACUUUGAACAAAUUAGAGUGCUUAAAGCAGGCUAAAACUUCGCCUGAAUACUGUGUGCAUGGAAUAAUGGAAUAGGACCUCGGUUCUAUUUUGUUGGUUUUCGGAACCCCGAGGUAAUGAUUAAUAGG
RNAcentral lists this ribosomal RNA (798 nucleotides) under Omosita discoidea. Its description in RNAcentral is "SSU rRNA". It matches the Rfam family "Eukaryotic small subunit ribosomal RNA", at positions 135 to 876 of the family's 1831-position model. The record is from RNAcentral. Lineage: Eukaryota; Metazoa; Arthropoda; Insecta; Coleoptera; Nitidulidae.